CCCCUAGAUGUUCUGGGCCGCACGCGCGCUACACUGAACAGUUCAACAAGUCUUAACCUUGGCCGAUAGGUCUGGGUAAUCUUUGAACGCUGUUCGUGAUUGGGAUAGACCUUUGCAAUUAUGGGUCUUCAACGAGGAAUUCCUAGUAAACGCAAGUCAUCAGCUUGCAUUGCUUACGUCCCUGCCCUUUGUACACACCGCCCGUCGCACCUACCGAUUGAAUGGUCCGGUGAAAUCUCGGGACGGCGGCUUGGUCGCUUGCGUCCGACUGCUGAAACUUGAUUAAACCAUAUCAUUUAGAGGAAGGUGAAGUCGUAACA
This 320-nucleotide ribosomal RNA is filed under the name uncultured eukaryote. Its description in RNAcentral is "partial 18S ribosomal RNA". It matches the Rfam family "Eukaryotic small subunit ribosomal RNA", at positions 1470 to 1796 of the family's 1831-position model. The record is from RNAcentral.